CGUAGGUGGCAAGCGUUGUCCGGAUUUACUGGGCGUAAAGCGUAUGCAGGCGGGCCCUUAAGUAGGAAGUGAAAGGUUGGAGCUCAACUCUAACAUUGCUCCCUAUACUGGGGGUCUUGAGUGCCGGAGAGGAAGAGGGAACUACACGUGUAGCGGUGAAAUGCGUUGAGAUGUGUAGGAACACCUAUGGCGAAAGCACUCUUCUGGACGGAAACUGACGCUGAGAUACGAAAGCCAAGGGAGCAAACAGGAUUAGAUACCCUGGUAGUCUUGGCCAUAAACGAUGUUCACUAGGUGUUGGGGGGUUUCCCUCGGUGCCGCAGCUAACGCAUUAAGUGAACCGCCUGGGAACUACGGCCGCAAGGUUG
Molecule: ribosomal RNA, 368 nt
Filed under: uncultured organism
Description: bacterial SSU rRNA
Rfam family: Bacterial small subunit ribosomal RNA
Source: RNAcentral